RNAcentral lists this transfer RNA (51 nucleotides) under Leptotrombidium pallidum. RNAcentral's name for it is "tRNA-Ser". The record is from RNAcentral. Lineage: Eukaryota; Metazoa; Arthropoda; Arachnida; Trombidiformes; Trombiculidae.
CUUCCUUUAUUUGUCUUGAAAACAGAAAAAAGAAAUUGUUUCUAGGAAGUU